GUGGGGAAUCUUGCGCAAUGGGCGAAAGCCUGACGCAGCCAUGUCGCGUGAAUGAUGAAGGUCUUAGGAUUGUAAAAUUCUUUCACCGGGGACGAUAAUGACGGUACCCGGAGAAGAAGCUCCGGCUAACUUCGUGCCAGCAGCCGCGGUAAUACGAAGGGGGCUAGCGUUGCUCGGAAUUACUGGGCGUAAAGGGCGCGUAGGCGGACAGCUUAGUCAGAGGUGAAAGCCCAGGGCUCAACCUUGGAAUUGCCUUUGAUACUGGCUGUCUUGAGUUUGGGAGAGGUGAGUGGAACUCCGAGUGUAGAGGUGAAAUUCGUAGAUAUUCGGAAGAACACCAGUGGCGAAGGCGACUCACUGGCCCAAUACUGACGCUGAGGCGCGAAAGCGUGGGGAGCAAACAGGAUUAGAUACCCCGGUAGUCC
This 425-nucleotide ribosomal RNA is filed under the name uncultured bacterium. RNAcentral's name for it is "partial 16S ribosomal RNA". It matches the Rfam family "Bacterial small subunit ribosomal RNA", at positions 354 to 796 of the family's 1533-position model. The record is from RNAcentral.